This 253-nucleotide ribosomal RNA is filed under the name uncultured bacterium. RNAcentral describes it as "partial 16S ribosomal RNA". It matches the Rfam family "Bacterial small subunit ribosomal RNA", at positions 524 to 776 of the family's 1533-position model. The record is from RNAcentral.
UACAGAGGUCUCAAGCGUUGCUCGGAAUCACUGGGCGUAAAGCGCACGUAGGCGGGUCUUUAAGUCAGGGGUGAAAUCCUGGAGCUCAACUCCAGAACUGCCUUUGAUACUGGGGAUCUCGAGUCCGGAAGAGGUGAGUGGAACUCCGAGUGUAGAGGUGAAAUUCGUAGAUAUUCGCAAGAACACCAGUGGCGAAGGCGGCUCACUGGCCCGGUACUGACGCUGAGGUGCGAAAGCGUGGGGAGCAAACAGG